RNAcentral lists this ribosomal RNA (238 nucleotides) under uncultured bacterium. RNAcentral describes it as "partial 16S ribosomal RNA". It matches the Rfam family "Bacterial small subunit ribosomal RNA", at positions 105 to 334 of the family's 1533-position model. The record is from RNAcentral.
CCGGGGGUAGGGAGGUAAAGUAGCUUGGGAAGCUGGCUUAUGGAGGGGGAUAACUACGGGAAACGGUAGCUAAUACCGCGUAGUGUCGAGAGACGAAAGUGCGGGACCGAAAGGCCGCAUGCCAUGAGAUGAGCCCAAGUGGGAUUAGGUAGUUGGUGGGGUAAAGGCCUACCAAGCCUGCGAUCUCUAGCUGGUCUGAGAGGAUGGCCAGCCACACUGGAACUGAGACACGGUCCAG